This 206-nucleotide long non-coding RNA is filed under the name Homo sapiens (human). RNAcentral's name for it is "HSALNT0317041". Lineage: Eukaryota; Metazoa; Chordata; Mammalia; Primates; Hominidae. The record is from RNAcentral.
GCACAAACAUGUCAGACACAGCUGAAAGAAUGGAAAUAGACUGGUAGAGAGAGGAAGGCACUGAGCCACAUGAAGGUAUGUGCGUAGGUUUUGUUCAGUGGAAAUAGACUGGUAGAGAGAGGAAGGCAGUGAAUCACAUGAAGGUACGUGUGUAGGUUUUAUUAAGUGACUUGCUUACAGCUACAGAGAGAAUAUUUGUCACCAGA